RNAcentral lists this ribosomal RNA (275 nucleotides) under uncultured bacterium. RNAcentral describes it as "partial 16S ribosomal RNA". It matches the Rfam family "Bacterial small subunit ribosomal RNA", at positions 338 to 627 of the family's 1533-position model. The record is from RNAcentral.
CCUACGGGGGGCUGCAGUGGGGAAUUUUCCGCAAUGGGCGAAAGCCUGACGGAGCAAUACCGCGUGAGGGAGGAAGGCUCUUGGGUUGUAAACCUCUUUUCUCAAGGAAGAACACAAUGACGGUACUUGAGGAAUCAGCAUCGGCUAACUCCGUGCCAGCAGCCGCGGUAAUACGGAGGAUGCAAGCGUUAUCCGGAAUGAUUGGGCGUAAAGCGUCCGCAGGUGGCGAUGUAAGUCUGCUGUUAAAGAGUGAGGCUCAACCUCAUAAGAGCAGU